Dreissena polymorpha is the source of this 275-nucleotide long non-coding RNA. RefSeq lists it as uncharacterized. The record is from RefSeq and is a predicted model, not a curated record. NCBI's taxonomy places the organism in Eukaryota, Metazoa, Mollusca, Bivalvia, Myida, Dreissenidae. The transcript has 3 exons.
GAAAUAAUUAAAAACUAUGAUGUCCUGUUCGGCCCAAUGACCGGUUGUGGCGCACUCAAAAUUGGAGAGGUUCGAAGGAGAGGCUGGGAAGCCGUGGCAAAUGUUCUAAACUGCCAAUUUUCCACCUAUAAGCGCGCAGGUUCAGAGGUGAAGAAAAAAUACUAUAACAUGAAAGACAAAACAAAGACAAAAAAUGAUGAGAUGAGGAGGCCAGGCACUGGAGGAGGGCCCCGGGUGAAAGAGUUCACCAUUCCGGAGGGGAUUCUUCUUCAUCA